AACGCGAAGAACCUUACCUGGGCUAGAAUGCAGAAUGACCGAUCCUGAAAGGGGUUUUUGUAGCAAUACACAUUUUGUAAGGUGCUGCAUGGCUGUCGUCAGCUCGUGCCGUGAGGUGUUGGGUUAAGUCCCGCAACGAGCGCAACCCCCAUCACUAGUUGCCAUCAGGUCAAGCUGGGAACUCUAGUGAAACUGCCGUCGUAAGACGCGAGGAAGGAGGGGAUGAUGUCAAGUCAUCAUGGCCUUUAUGCCCAGGGCUACACACGUGCUACAAUGGGAGAGACAAAGGGCAGCUACCUAGCGAUAGGACGCUAAUCCCAAAAACUCUUUCUCAGUUCAGAUUGCAGUCUGCAACUCGACUGCAUGAAGCUGGAAUCGCUAGUAAUCGUAUAUCAGCAAUGAUACGGUGAAUACGUUCCCGGGCCUUGUACACACCGCUCGCGA
RNAcentral lists this ribosomal RNA (444 nucleotides) under uncultured bacterium. Its description in RNAcentral is "bacterial SSU rRNA". It matches the Rfam family "Bacterial small subunit ribosomal RNA", at positions 958 to 1399 of the family's 1533-position model. The record is from RNAcentral.